GAUGAACGCUGACAGAAUGCUUAACACAUGCAAGUCAACUUGAACUUCGGUUUGGGUGGCGGACGGGUGAGUAACGCGUAAAGAACUUGCCUCACAGCUAGGGACAACAUUUGGAAACGAAUGCUAAUACCUGAUAUUAUGAUUAUAUGGCAUCGUAUAAUUAUGAAAGCUAUAUGCGCUGUGAGAGAGCUUUGCGUCCCAUUAGCUAGUUGGAGAGGUAACAGCUCACCAAGGCGAUGAUGGGUAGCCGGCCUGAGAGGGUGAUCGGCCACAAGGGGACUGAGACACGGCUCUUACUCCUACGGGAGGCAGCAGUGGGGAAUAUUGGACAAUGGACCGAGAGUCUGAUCCAGCAAUUCUGUGUGCACGAUGAAGUUUUUCGGAAUGUAAAGUGCUUUCAGUUGGGAAGAAAAAAAUGACGGUACCAACAGAAGAAGUGACGGCUAAAUACGUG
Molecule: ribosomal RNA, 454 nt
Filed under: uncultured bacterium
Lineage: Bacteria
Description: partial 16S ribosomal RNA
Rfam family: Bacterial small subunit ribosomal RNA
Source: RNAcentral